GACGAACGCUGGCGGCGUGCUUAACACAUGCAAGUCGAGCGGUAAGGCCCUUUCGGGGGUACACGAGCGGCGAACGGGUGAGUAACACGUGGGUGACCUGCCCUCAGCUCUGGGAUAAGCCUGGGAAACCGGGUCUAAUACUGGAUAUGACUCCAUGACGCAUGUUGUGGGGUGGAAAGCCUUGUGCGGCUGAGGAUGGGCCCGCGGCCUAUCAGCUUGUUGGUGGGGUGANGGCCUACCAAGGCGACGACGGGUAGCCGGCCUGAGAGGGCGACCGGCCACACUGGGACUGAGACACGGCCCAGACUCCUACGGGAGGCAGCAGUGGGGAAGUCUUGCGCAAUGGGCGAAAGCCUGACGCAGCGACGCCGCGUGAGGGAUGACGGCCU
RNAcentral lists this ribosomal RNA (389 nucleotides) under uncultured bacterium. RNAcentral's name for it is "bacterial SSU rRNA". It matches the Rfam family "Bacterial small subunit ribosomal RNA", at positions 28 to 417 of the family's 1533-position model. The record is from RNAcentral.